Molecule: regulatory RNA element, 58 nt
Organism: Catenulispora acidiphila DSM 44928
Lineage: Bacteria; Bacillati; Actinomycetota; Actinomycetes; Catenulisporales; Catenulisporaceae
Rfam family: msiK RNA
Source: Rfam
CGGGCACCUUUCCAACUCGGAUCGUCCGGCACGUUCCUGCCGGUUGAAAGGGAGUGCA